GCGAUAAGUAGUGUGAAUUGCAGAAUUCAGUGAAUCAUCGAAUCUUUGAACGCACAUUGCGCCCCUUGGUAUUCCAUGGGGCAUGCCUGUUCGAGCGUCAUUUGUACCCUCAAGCUCUGCUUGGUGUUGGGUGUUUGUCCCGUCUCCGCGCGUGGACUCGCCCCAAAGUGAUUGGCAGCCGGCGUACUGGUCCCGGAGCGCAGCACAUGUCGCGCAAACGAGUGCCUUGGUACGGUGGCGUCCAUAAGCCCCUCUCUCACGCUCUUGACCUCGGAUCAGGUAGGGAUACCCGCUGAACUUAAGC
Molecule: unclassified non-coding RNA, 304 nt
Filed under: plant metagenome
Description: partial contains 5.8S ribosomal RNA, internal transcribed spacer 2, and large subunit ribosomal RNA
Rfam family: 5.8S ribosomal RNA (bases 1-100)
Source: RNAcentral